CUACGGGGUGCAGCAGUGGGGAAUAUUGGACAAUGGGGGAAACCCUGAUCCAGCAAUGCCGCGUGUGUGAAGAAGGCCUGCGGGUUGUAAAGCACUUUCGGUUGAGAGGACUGCUUCUAGCACUAAUAUUGUUGGAAGUUGACGUUACCUUCAGAAGAAGCACCGGCUAACUCCGUGCCAGCAGCCGCGGUAAUACGGAGGGUGCAAGCGUUAAUCGGAAUUACUGGGCGUAAAGCGCGCGUAGGCGGCUAGAUCAGUCGGGUGUGAAAGCCCCGGGCUUAACCGGGGAACUGCAUCCGAUACUGCCUAGCUUGAGUACAGGAGAGGAGAGUGGAAUUCCACAUGUAGCGGUGAAAUGCGUAGAUAUGUGGAAGAACACCAAUGGCGAAGGCAGCUCUCUGGCCUGAUACUGACGCUGAGGUGCGAAAGCGUGGGGGGCAAACAGGAUUAGAUACCCGGGUAGUC
This 465-nucleotide ribosomal RNA is filed under the name uncultured bacterium. Its description in RNAcentral is "partial 16S ribosomal RNA". It matches the Rfam family "Bacterial small subunit ribosomal RNA", at positions 339 to 795 of the family's 1533-position model. The record is from RNAcentral.